GACGAACGCUGGCGGCGUGCUUAACACAUGCAAGUGGAGCGACGAACCAGGGCUUGCCCUGGGGCAGAGCCGCGAACGGGUGAGUAACACGUGGGUAACCUACCCCGAUGACCGGGACAACCCGAGGAAACUCGGGCUAAUACCGGAUGUUCUCGUUUCUCGUAAGGGAACCGAGUAAAGAUAGCUUCGGCCUUCGCAUCGGGACGGGCCCGCGGCCCAUUAGCUUGUUGGUGGGGUAACGGCCUACCAAGGCGACGAUGGGUAGCUGGUCUGAGAGGACGAUCAGCCACACUGGGACUGAGACACGGCCCAGACUCCUACGGGAGGCAGCAGUGGGGAAUCUUGCGCAAUGGGCGAAAGCCUGACGCAGCAACGCCGCGUGGGGGAAGAAGGCCUUCGGGUUGUAAACCCCUUUCAGUUGGGACGAAGCUUCCAGAGUUAAUAGCUUUGUGGAGUGACGGUACCUUCAGAAGAAGCCCCGGCUAACUACGUGCCAGCAGCCGCCGAGUAAAC
This 513-nucleotide ribosomal RNA is filed under the name uncultured bacterium. Its description in RNAcentral is "bacterial SSU rRNA". It matches the Rfam family "Bacterial small subunit ribosomal RNA", at positions 28 to 526 of the family's 1533-position model. The record is from RNAcentral.